UGCACUCCUACGGGAGGCAGCAGUGGGGAAUUUUGGACAAUGGGCGAAAGCCUGAUCCAGCCAUGCCGCGUGCAGGAUGAAGGCCUUCGGGUUGUAAACUGCUUUUGUACGGAACGAAACGGCCUUUUCUAAUAAAGAGGGCUAAUGACGGUACCGUAAGAAUAAGCACCGGCUAACUACGUGCCAGCAGCCGCGGUAAUACGUAGGGUGCAAGCGUUAAUCGGAAUUACUGGGCGUAAAGCGUGCGCAGGCGGUUAUGUAAGACAGUUGUGAAAUCCCCGGGCUCAACCUGGGAACUGCAUCUGUGACUGCAUAGCUAGAGUACGGUAGAGGGGGAUGGAAUUCCGCGUGUAGCAGUGAAAUGCGUAGAUAUGCGGAGGAACACCGAUGGCGAAGGCAAUCCCCUGGACCUGUACUGACGCUCAUGCACGAAAGCGUGGGGAGCAAACAGGAUUAGAAACCCGAGUAGUCCCA
RNAcentral lists this ribosomal RNA (474 nucleotides) under uncultured organism. RNAcentral describes it as "partial 16S ribosomal RNA". It matches the Rfam family "Bacterial small subunit ribosomal RNA", at positions 332 to 797 of the family's 1533-position model. The record is from RNAcentral.